UAUGUUCUCAAUUUAUGUCAUUCAUUCAAAUUGCUCGCGGUUUAAUAAGGGGUUUAUUUCAAAUAAUAUUAAUAAUGACUAUACCGAGUGAGGUCCGCAAACUAAUUUAAGCUCGUAAAUAAUUUUGACAAUGUGCGAAGUCGAUGUGAAGCGUUGUAUAACGAAAAACUGUUUACAAGUCGUAAACAAUUUAUUAGCUUAGAUUGGUGCUCUAUUAAUAUUUUAAUACUUUGAGUACUAGUUCUAACAUUUGCCUAUAACUUUGAUUAAUACGUCAAUUUAUUAAUACAUGACUCUCAUAAACAGGACAAGUGUGUAAAGAAACGGAUAAACUAGAAGUUCUGGAAAAUAUAAAUAAACUCAAAACAUUGGAAGGUAAGGAGUUACU
Cydia strobilella is the source of this 388-nucleotide long non-coding RNA. RefSeq lists it as uncharacterized. Lineage: Eukaryota; Metazoa; Arthropoda; Insecta; Lepidoptera; Tortricidae. The transcript has 2 exons. The record is from RefSeq and is a predicted model, not a curated record.